Molecule: small nuclear RNA, 155 nt
Organism: Bombyx mandarina (wild silkworm)
Lineage: Eukaryota; Metazoa; Arthropoda; Insecta; Lepidoptera; Bombycidae
Source: RefSeq, a predicted model, not a curated record
ACACAUACCUGACGUAGGGGCUACCGUGAUCAUGCAGGCGGUUCCCCCAGGGUGAGGCUGCUCCAUUGCGCUGCGGAGUGGUUCUUAUAUGGUGGUGCGAUUAUUCUUAUUUCUUAUAAUUUUCACUUCUACCGCGUGUGACUUGCACUCACGUC